GGGGCCUUGAAACAGCCAGGGAGCGUCUCGCAAGUGCGGGCCGCGGCGGGGGGCGCAGCGCUGCGGGACCCCCCGGCCCGAUACAGAGAGGCGGAGGGUGGGUUAUAAAGGUCACGUUUAUCAGAGCCCCCCCCCACCUCAUCCCGCGCCGGAGGCCCCUUUGGAGACCGCCCCGGGCCCAUGCGGGGACGGCCAGCGGGCGUCGCCACAUUUGGGACCGGGGCGAGGGGGUGGGGGGGGGGGGGAGACGACACGACAGGACACGCAGCGGGGCUGGGGCUGCACGCGGCAGAGCGGGCUGUCCCGGCGGUAAUUAGCGGUCCCGGCGGUAAUUAGCGGUCCCGGAGGUAAUUAGCGGAGCCUUCCUUCCCGCCGCUAAUGGGCACGGGAGGGCCCAGCCCGCCCCACCGCUGCAGCCGGGGUGGGGGCACCUCCCGCUGUGCCACCCCAGGAGAGGCUUCUGCUGAACCCACCGAGGGCCGUUAACCCCUUCCGUGCCGGGGCUGUUAGCCCGGCAAGCAUCGCCCCCCCCGCCCCCCAACCCCUUCCUCCCCCCCUCCCCGGGGCUCGGUACGGCGGCAGGGCGCCCCGUGUGCGGGACGGAACCCAUCAGUGCGGCCCUGCCAGCCCCGGCACGUCGGCGGUGACAUCGAAGCUGAACCGGUUGUAGCGUCCCCUGGCCAGGAAGCGCGCCCCGUGAGCAAUGCUGCACGUCCAGAGCAGGUAUGUGACAAAGGCCACGUAGGCCACCAGCAGCAGCCCCAGGGGGAUGAGGUAGCCCAGGCCCCGCAGCGUGGGCAGGAAAUCCACCACGAAGUACACAUUGAUGGCACACACCAAGCCCGUGAUGAGGGACAUCAGCACCUGCCCCAGGCUGCAGGCGGCACGCGGGCAUCGGUGCCAGAGCUCCGUGCCACCCACCCCGGCAAGCAGGGCAGCAGGAGCCCAAAUAGGGGGGUUGUGCGGCUCACAGCCACGCUGCACCCCACUCUGGGGCCACCGGGAUGCUGAGGAUGUGGAGGUGUCCCCCCCUAAUCCCCCCCACGCACAACCCCAGCACUCACAGACCGUUGGCGAAGUCAUGCAUGAGCGGGCGCAGGCUGGUGAAGGUGAGGACGGGCAGCACGGCGAAGGGCAGCUGGAAUGAACGGUCAGGGUGAGGGGGGCACAGCGGGGACGGGGGCCCGGCCGUGCCCACCCCUUACCAGGAUGCUCUGCAGCACGUUGAGCAGGUCGUUCAUGCCCGUCAGCUGGCUCACGUCCCUAAAGGCGGCCACGAAGAGGGUGGGCAGGAUGGCGAUGGAGCGCGUCAGCAGCACGCGGGUGAAGCGAGACCAGCGCAGCUGCAGGAAGCCCUGGGGGUGCGGGGAAAAGACGGGGCCCAUCAGCCCUUGGCGUGCUUCCAAAAUUCUCUAGGGCCGUGUCCCCCCUUCCCUGUGGUGCUCGGCUCCUGCAGGGCUGCGGGGCCCCGCUAGAUGUCAGCCCCCGCUCGUUAAGCGAACAGCUCGUUAGGGAAGCAGGGCCUCACGUGGGGCGCUCACGGGGACGUGACUGCCGAGUGGCGGCUCUGGGUGCGCUCUGACCCCAUCCCGGCUCGCGGGGACCCCAAGUGAACCCCUCUGCCCAGAAGAAAUCUCCCUGCCAAAUACCCCUGUUGGGGUCGGGCUGCCCAUAGGACUCCCGCCCGGCGCCCACCCGUGAGUCACCUCUCUCCCCGCCCCUCUCACUGUAUUCCCCGCUCACCUCCAUGACAAACUGUCCCGCGUAGGUGCCUGUCAUGGUGGAGCUCUGCCCUGCUGCCAGGAUCCCCACGGCCCAGAUGUAGAGCGCUGCAGCCCCAAAAUAGCAGCCCAGGAUGACGCCCUGCAUGGCAACGCUCCGUUGGGGAUCCCAAAAUAUCCCCCCUUGGCAUAGCGAGGGGUUGGGUUUGGGAGACCAGAGGCAGCACGGUGCCCCCAAAACAGCCACCAAGGCUAGCUGGCCGUGGGAUGCAGCCCAGCGCCACUCACCCCCUGGUAGAUAUCCACAGACACCGUCUCAUUGUUGAUGGGGAAGAUGCUGGCAUAGCGACUGACGCUGCUGUUGACGCACUUGUUAUGCUGCAAGGCAUGGUGAGCACGAGUGCGGCACGGCUAUGAAUCCAACCCUCCAUCCAUCCAUCCAAUCCAACCUUCAUCCAUCCAUCCAUCCACCUAACCAGACUAAGGAGCUCUCACCCUG
This 2220-nucleotide long non-coding RNA is filed under the name Gallus gallus (chicken). Lineage: Eukaryota; Metazoa; Chordata; Aves; Galliformes; Phasianidae. The record is from RNAcentral.